GUGCAGCAGUCGCGCAAACUCUGCAAUACGCGAAACCGUGACGGGGCUACCCCGAGUGCCGUCCGCUGAGGAUGGCUUUUCUCCGGUGUAGUAAGCAGGAGGAAUAAGGAGAGGGCAAGUCUGGUGUCAGCCGCCGCGGUAAUACCAGCUCUCCGAGUGGUAGGGACGAUUAUUGGGCCUAAAGCGUCCGUAGCCGGCCAAGCAAGUUUCCCGUUAAAUCCAGCGAUCCAAUCGCUCGACUGCGGGAGAUACUGUUUGGCUAGGGGGCGAGAGAGGCCAACGGUAUUCCCGGGGUAGGGGUGAAAUCCUAUAAUCCCGGGAGGACCACCAGUGGCGAAGGCUGUUGGCUAGAACGCGCUCGACGGUGAGGGACGAAAGCUGGGGGAGCGAACCGGAUUAGAUACCCGUGUAGUCC
RNAcentral lists this ribosomal RNA (415 nucleotides) under uncultured crenarchaeote. RNAcentral's name for it is "partial 16S ribosomal RNA". It matches the Rfam family "Archaeal small subunit ribosomal RNA", at positions 330 to 747 of the family's 1478-position model. Lineage: Archaea; Thermoproteati; Thermoproteota. The record is from RNAcentral.